Long non-coding RNA from Trifolium pratense (red clover), 413 nucleotides. RefSeq lists it as uncharacterized. The record is from RefSeq and is a predicted model, not a curated record. NCBI's taxonomy places the organism in Eukaryota, Viridiplantae, Streptophyta, Magnoliopsida, Fabales, Fabaceae. The transcript has 2 exons.
CCUUCUUGUGGAGGAAACCACUAGACUAAGUUAGAAACAAAUUGAAAUCUAUCCACUUUUUACUAAAAAAGAAGAGAAGAGAAAAACAGAAUAGAGGAGCAAGGGAGAAAGAGAGAUUGACGCAUGAGAGGGAGAAGAGAAAGAAGAGGAAAACAAAACUCACAACCAAAGAUUAAUUGCUAUUCCAAAUUUUCAGGUAGGCGACGAGUCAUAGUUGCCGAGUUCGGGGAGCUUGUCCCUUGCUGUUUUAGUAAUUGAGUCGCUCUGAUAGGAUGUCUUGGGGGAUUCACGUAUAUAUUCAAUUAGUAUUUCUUCAAAAUGACUUGAACAGUGUCAAUUGGUUUUUGGAAAGAUUCUACUGCUCUCAAUAAUUUUUGACUUCAAAUUUUAGAACUUAUGUUUAUUGGUUUUAA